This 253-nucleotide ribosomal RNA is filed under the name uncultured bacterium. RNAcentral describes it as "partial 16S ribosomal RNA". It matches the Rfam family "Bacterial small subunit ribosomal RNA", at positions 524 to 776 of the family's 1533-position model. The record is from RNAcentral.
UACAGAGGGGGCUAGCGUUGUUCGGAAUUACUGGGCGUAAAGGGCGCGUAGGUGGCCUGUUAAGUCGAACGUGAAAUCCCCGGGCUCAACCCGGGAACUGCGUCCGAGACUGGCAGGCUCGAAUCCGGGAGAGGGAUGUGGAAUUCCAGGUGUAGCGGUGAAAUGCGUAGAUAUCUGGAGGAACACCGGUGGCGAAGGCGGCAUCCUGGACCGGUAUUGACGCUGAGGCGCGAAAGCUAGGGGAGCAAACGGG